Molecule: ribosomal RNA, 460 nt
Filed under: uncultured bacterium
Lineage: Bacteria
Description: partial 16S ribosomal RNA
Rfam family: Bacterial small subunit ribosomal RNA
Source: RNAcentral
CCUACGGGAGGCAGCAGUGAGGAAUAUUGGUCAAUGGGCUUACGCCUGAACCAGCCAAGUCGCGUGAGGGAAGACUGCCCUAUGGGUUGUAAACCUCUUUUGUCAGGGAGCAAUUGGCGCUACGUGUAGCGUUAUCGAGAGUACCUGAAGAAAAAGCAUCGGCUAACUCCGUGCCAGCAGCCGCGAUAAUACGGAGGAUGCGAGCGUUAUCCGGAUUUAUUGGGUUUAAAGGGUGCGUAGGCGGAAUGCCAAGUCAGCGGGAAAAUCGCGGGGCUCAACCUCGCUCCGCCGUUGAAACUGGCGUUCUUGAGUGGGCGAGAAGUAUGCGGAAUGCGUGGUGUAGCGGUGAAAUGCAUAGAUAUCACGCAGAACUCCGAUUGCGAAGGCAGCAUACCGGCGCCCAACUGACGCUGAAGCACGAAAGCGUGGGUAUCGAACAGGAUUAGAUACCCCAGUAGUC